This is a microRNA precursor of Sarcophilus harrisii (Tasmanian devil), 150 nucleotides long. Ensembl annotates it as sha-mir-23a. Its record names the gene sha-mir-23a. The record is from Ensembl. Lineage: Eukaryota; Metazoa; Chordata; Mammalia; Dasyuromorphia; Dasyuridae.
CUCCUUUCUAGGUCUGAGCUUCCUCUAUGGUCCUCGACCCAGCACCCCUGAGCCUUGGCCGGCUGGGGUUCCUGGGGAUGGGAUUUGAUUACUGCCACAAAUCACAUUGCCAGGGAUUUCCAACUGACCACUGGCCCUGCUGCUGAAGCU